AUUAAACGCUGGCGGCAUGCCUUACACAUGCAAGUCGAACGGCAGCACGGGGGCAACCCUGGUGGCGAGUGGCGGACGGGUGAGUAAAGCAUCGGAACGUAUCCUGGAGUGGGGGAUAACGUAGCGAAAGUUACGCUAAUACCGCAUAUUCUGUGAGCAGGAAAGCAGGGGAUCGCAAGACCUUGCGCUCUGGGAGCGGCCGAUGUCGGAUUAGCUAGUUGGUGGGUAAAGGCCUACCAAGGCGACGAUCCGUAGCGGGUCUGAGAGGAUGAUCCGCCACACUGGGACUGAGACACGGCCCAGACUCCUACGGGAGGCAGCAGUGGGAAUUUUGGACAAUGGGCGCAAGCCUGAUCCAGCCAUGGCCGCGUGAGUGAAGAA
This 381-nucleotide ribosomal RNA is filed under the name uncultured bacterium. RNAcentral's name for it is "bacterial SSU rRNA". It matches the Rfam family "Bacterial small subunit ribosomal RNA", at positions 29 to 412 of the family's 1533-position model. The record is from RNAcentral.